RNAcentral lists this long non-coding RNA (223 nucleotides) under Gossypium raimondii (Peruvian cotton). RNAcentral's name for it is "long non-coding RNA (GRAI_LNC011145)". Lineage: Eukaryota; Viridiplantae; Streptophyta; Magnoliopsida; Malvales; Malvaceae. The record is from RNAcentral.
AGGAUUCCAGAACUGAGCAAGGGCUCGGAAUAAAUACUUGUCCACUUUGACACUAAGCAGAUAAGGUAGGUCACCGUAGUUACAAUAGAACAGCUGCUUGGCCUCGACAUCCCAUUGAUCCCAGACUUCUUUCAUUUCUUGAAGGUCAUUCUGGAUUACACUGAUACGGGUGAAAUCCCACAAUUCUGACACGCACCCUUCGGUAAGACUAUCGCCUUUCUCU